GGGGUGCACCAGGCGCGAAACCUCUGCAAUAGGCGAAAGCUUGACAGGGUUACUCUGAGUGAUGUCCGUUAAGGGCAUCUUUUGGCACCUCUAAAAAUGGUGCAGAAUAAGGGGUGGGCAAGUCUGGUGUCAGCCGUUGUGGUAAUACCAGCACCCCGAGUGGUCGGGACGAUUAUUGGGCCUAAAGCAUCCGUAGCUUGUCCUGCAAGUCUUCCGUUAAAUCCACCUGUUUAACAGAUGGGCUGCGGGGGAUACUACAGGGCUAGGAGGCGGGAGAGGCAAACGGUACUCAGUGGGUAGGGGUAAAAUCCACUGAUCCACUGAAGACCACUAGUGGCGAAGGCGGUUUGCCAGAACGCGCUCGACGGUGAGGGAUGAAAGCUGGGGGAGCAAACCGGAUUAGAUACCCGGGUAGUCCCAGCUGUAAACGAUGCAGACUCGGUGAUGGGUUGGCUUUGAGCCAACCCAGUGCCGUAGGGAAGCCGUUAAGUCUGCCGCCUGGGGAGUACGGUCGUAAGACUGAAACUUAAAGGAAUUGGCGGGGGAGCAC
Molecule: ribosomal RNA, 550 nt
Filed under: uncultured archaeon
Lineage: Archaea
Description: bacterial SSU rRNA
Rfam family: Archaeal small subunit ribosomal RNA
Source: RNAcentral